ACUCCUACGGGAGGCAGCAGUGGGAAUAUUGGACAAUGGGGCAACCCGUGAUCCAGCAAUACCGCGUGUGUGAAGAAGGCCUGCGGGUUGUAAAGCACUUUCAGUAGGGAAGAAAGCAGAUGGUUAAUACCCAUCAGUCUUGACGUUACCUACAGAAGAAGCACCGGCUAACUCCGUGCCAGCAGCCGCGGUAAUACGGAGGGUGCAAGCGUUAAUCGGAAUUACUGGGCGUAAAGCGCGCGUAGGCGGCUUGGUAAGUCAGAUGUGAAAUCCCA
This 275-nucleotide ribosomal RNA is filed under the name uncultured bacterium. Its description in RNAcentral is "partial 16S ribosomal RNA". It matches the Rfam family "Bacterial small subunit ribosomal RNA", at positions 335 to 604 of the family's 1533-position model. The record is from RNAcentral.